Molecule: unclassified non-coding RNA, 400 nt
Filed under: soil metagenome
Description: partial contains 5.8S ribosomal RNA, internal transcribed spacer 2, and large subunit ribosomal RNA
Rfam family: 5.8S ribosomal RNA (bases 1-122)
Source: RNAcentral
GAUGAAGAACGCAGCAAAAUGCGAUACUUGGUGUGAAUUGCAGAAUCCCGUGAACCAUCGAGUUUUUGAACGCAAGUUGCGCCUCAAGCCAUUAGGUUGAGGGCACGUCUGCCUGGGCGUCACAUAUCGUUGCCUGAUGCCAGUUUCCUCGUGAUGGGUGACUGUGCAGGGCGAAUGAUGGCUUCCCGUGAGCAUUGUUGCCUCAUGGUUGGUUGAAAAUUGAGUCCUUGGUAGGGAGCGCCGUGAUAGAUGGUGGUUGAGUGACGAACGAGACCCAAUCAUGUGAGACCCCUACCGAAUUUGGCCUUCAUGACCCACAUGCGUCUUUGGAACGCUCAUGACGAGACCUCAGGUCAGGCGGGGCUACCCGCUGAGUUCAAGCAUAUCAAUAAGCGGAGGA